Molecule: ribosomal RNA, 496 nt
Filed under: uncultured bacterium
Lineage: Bacteria
Description: partial 16S ribosomal RNA
Rfam family: Bacterial small subunit ribosomal RNA
Source: RNAcentral
GAUGAACGCUGGCGGCGUGCCUAAUACAUGCAAGUCGAGCGAACAGAUGAGGAGCUUGCUCCUCUGACGUUAGCGGCGGACGGGUGAGUAACACGUGGAUAACCUACCUAUAAGACUGGGAUAACUUCGGGAAACCGGAGCUAAUACCGGAUAAUAUAUUGAACCGCAUGGUUCAAUAGUGAAAGACGGUUUUGCUGUCACUUAUAGAUGGAUCCGCGCCGCAUUAUCUGGUUGGUAAGGUAACGGCUUACCAAGGCAACGAUGCGUAGCCGACCUGAGAGGGUGAUGGGCCACAAUGGAGCUGAGAGACGGCCCAGAGUCCGACGGGCGGCAGAAGCAGGGAAUCGUCGGAGAUGGGCGAAAGCCUGACGGAGGAACGGCGCGCGAGUGAUGAAGGUCUUCGGAUCGUAAAACUCUGUUAUUAGGGAAGAACAAAUGUGUAAGUAACUAUGCACGUCUUGACGGUACCUAUUCAGAAAACCCCGGCUAAUUACGU